CUGGGGGAAUGGAAACAUGGCGACUUCCAUGGAGGUUCCUGAAGCGUCCUCCUGCUGGGAUCAGGAUCUGCACUUUUUUCCAUUUGUUUAAGGUUUUAAGGAGCACAUACUGAAGAUUCCGGAUGUUGAAUUGUUUUGACUGCUGACUGUUCUCCAGAAUUCUCAAUGAGGUUCAAUGAGGAAUCGUUGUAAGUGAAGCAAGCAUCAUGAUGCUUCUCUGAGCCAUUUUGCAGGUUUUAUCAAGCCAACGAUUUAACUUAGUGACUGGUCCUAACUCCC
Long non-coding RNA from Sphaeramia orbicularis (orbiculate cardinalfish), 279 nucleotides. RefSeq lists it as uncharacterized. The transcript has 4 exons. NCBI's taxonomy places the organism in Eukaryota, Metazoa, Chordata, Actinopteri, Kurtiformes, Apogonidae. The record is from RefSeq and is a predicted model, not a curated record.